AACGCGCCGAAGGACGACGCCCAACACCAGCCGGCGUCUCGUCCCUCACAACAGCAGCGCUGAUGGACGACCUACGUCACGACUGUCGUUUUAUGGCACCCACUACGUGCUCAUCACUCCUCUCCACAGUAGAAUCUUUACAGUGAUCAGUGUUGCGAGGUAAAAGCAAUGGCCGUUUUCGACUGCAGGAAACACCACUGACGUGCCAAUACAUUGCCCAGCACGAGACUGAAUGCCGUCUGGAGGUGUUGCGGGCGCGUUUCACAGCAAGAGGGAAAACUGACUCGCCUUCCGACUACGUCGAGACUCCGCUGCUGGCAACAUACCUACAGACAGAAGGGAAAAAAUACGAGGGAGUGAUACUGGAGAGCACUUUACGGCUACAGUUGAGCGUCAGUUGGUCAUCGCUUACUCUCACGACCAGAGUCAUAGCCGUCAGCUGCGUGGUCCAGUCCUGCCCGCCCACGACCACGCAGGCAUCGGGCUCCGGCCGCCGAUGCAGCCGUCUCUGAGCUGCACCGUGGAGGCCGCGAGACGACCGACGCUGCACGCCGCGCAGCCGCGUCCCCUGCUGGCGAAAUACACUCUUGUAUCCCAGGGAAAGACAGCCGACCGCCCCUCUCAAAGACGUUCAUAUUUUUCAACCAACAAAGUGACCUAGAGACGGUACUCGUUUGAGUAAGAUUAUUAUUGUGGCUAAAAUA
This is a long non-coding RNA of Schistocerca cancellata (South American locust), 704 nucleotides long. RefSeq lists it as uncharacterized. NCBI's taxonomy places the organism in Eukaryota, Metazoa, Arthropoda, Insecta, Orthoptera, Acrididae. The transcript has 3 exons. The record is from RefSeq and is a predicted model, not a curated record.